This 293-nucleotide ribosomal RNA is filed under the name uncultured bacterium. RNAcentral describes it as "partial 16S ribosomal RNA". It matches the Rfam family "Archaeal small subunit ribosomal RNA", at positions 455 to 747 of the family's 1478-position model. The record is from RNAcentral.
GUGCCAGCGGCCGCGGUAAUACCGGCAGACCGAGUGAUGGCCGAUCUUGUUGGGCCUAAAGCGUCCGUAGCUGGCCGCGCAAGUCCAUCGGGAAAUCCACCUGCUCAACAGGUGGGCGCCCGGUGGAAACUGUGCGGCUUGGGACCGGAAGGCGCGACGGGUACGUCCGGGGUAGGAGUGAAAUCCCGUAAUCCUGGACGGACCGCCGAUGGCGAAAGCACGUCGCGAGAACGGAUCCGACAGUGAGGGACGAAAGCCAGGGUCUCGAACCGGAUUAGAUACCCCAGUAGUCC